AGGACGAACGCUGGCGGCGUGCUUAACACAUGCAAGUCGAGCGGAAAGGCCCUUCGGGGUACUCGAGCGGCGAACGGGUGAGUAACACGUGAGCAAUCUGCCCUUAGCUUCGGGAUAGCCCCGGGAAACCGGGAUUAAUACCGAAUACGACCUCGGCCGACAUCGGCCUUGGUGGAAAGUUUUUCGGCUAGGGAUGAACUCGCGGCCUAUCAGCUUGUUGGUGGGGUGAUGGCCUACCAAGGCGACGACGGGUAG
RNAcentral lists this ribosomal RNA (255 nucleotides) under uncultured bacterium. RNAcentral's name for it is "partial small subunit ribosomal RNA". It matches the Rfam family "Bacterial small subunit ribosomal RNA", at positions 26 to 286 of the family's 1533-position model. The record is from RNAcentral.